RNAcentral lists this ribosomal RNA (235 nucleotides) under uncultured bacterium. RNAcentral's name for it is "partial 16S ribosomal RNA". It matches the Rfam family "Bacterial small subunit ribosomal RNA", at positions 118 to 351 of the family's 1533-position model. The record is from RNAcentral.
UGAGCAAUCUGCCCUUCUCUUCGGAAUAAGCGUUGGAAACGACGUCUAAUGCCGAAUACGACCUCCUUUCGCAUGAUCGGAGGUGGAAAGCUCCGGCGGAGAAGGAUGAGCUCGCGGCCUAUCAGCUAGUUGGUGUGGGUAAUGGCCCACCAAGGCGACGACGGGUAGCCGGCCUGAGAGGGUGACCGGCUACACUGGGACUGAGACACGGCCCAGACCUCCGUACGGGAGGCAG